UACGUAGGGGGCAAGCGUUUGUCCGGAAUCAUUGGGCGUAAAGAGCGUGUAGGCGGCUUGGCAAGUCUGGUGUGAAAUCUUGCGGCUCAACCGCAAGCGGUCACUGGAAACUGCCUCGCUAGAGUCCGGAAGAGGAGAGCGGAAUUCCUGGUGUAGCGGUGAAAUGCGUAGAUAUCAGGAGGAACACCUGCGGUGUAGACGGCUUACUGGACCAUAACUGACGCUGAGGCACGAAAGCGUGGGGAGCAAACAGG
RNAcentral lists this ribosomal RNA (254 nucleotides) under uncultured bacterium. RNAcentral's name for it is "partial 16S ribosomal RNA". It matches the Rfam family "Bacterial small subunit ribosomal RNA", at positions 524 to 776 of the family's 1533-position model. The record is from RNAcentral.